This is a long non-coding RNA of Pygocentrus nattereri (red-bellied piranha), 752 nucleotides long. RefSeq lists it as uncharacterized. The record is from RefSeq and is a predicted model, not a curated record. Lineage: Eukaryota; Metazoa; Chordata; Actinopteri; Characiformes; Serrasalmidae. The transcript has 3 exons.
GGCAGGAUGUUCCACGAAGGUUAAAACCAAACUCUGCAGGAAAGUAGAUCUCCAGAAGGAGGGUUGGUGACCACUGCUCUAAAAUCUUUCUCUGGUAUUCCUGGCUGGCUUGCCAAAAACAACAGCUGCUGAGUGGCUGCAGGAUGUCCACAACCCUGUAACGUUUGAGCAACCCACCGUCUACCUCUCCACUCUCCCUCAUCAUUACCCAGGCCUGAUGUUUACCUUGGCUGAUGCUCUGACUUGGCUCUACCUCAGCUUUCAAAAAAGUCGUAACUCUCCUGGCGUGCGGAGGAGAGGCGCAGGGUUAAGAAGAGCAACACGGGGAGAGGAGAGGAGGAAAGCAGAGGAGCAGCGGGAAAGACACAUUGAUGAAGGGCAAGAAGAAGGAGGGAUGAAGAAGGAGGACAAGAAGAGAAGGACAAAGGGAGGAACAGUUUGUUAGUGACCGGGUCAUUAGGCGGAAGCAGUGUACACUAAAACAGAAAUCUGAGGGAAAGCAGAAGAUGCUUAACACUAAAGCCUAGUCAGGACACACAGAGAGGGAGAGAGAGAGAGAGACAUCCGUCAACACAUAUACAACCAGUCCACUCCCAAUGCCCUUCAGUCAGGGCGGUCAGAAAGGGGCAGAGCAGUCUUUUCAAACAGCAUCAAAACCCAUACAGUAGAAAAAUAUACAUAUAUUUCCUUGUUAUUUAUUUAUUUAUUCAUUUUCAUUUUUUCUCCAAUUUAAAAAAUGUUGUCGUCUCCAA